UGCCUACGGGACGCAGCAGUGGGGGAUAUUGCACAAUGGGGGGAACCCUGAUGCAGCGACGCCGCGUGGGUGAAGGAGCGUUUCGGCGCGUAAAGCCCUAUCGGCAGGGAAGAAGAUGACGGUACCUGACCAAGAAGCCCCGGCUAACUACGUGCCAGCAGCCGCGGCAAUACGUAGGGGGCAAGCGUUAUCCGGAUUUACUGGGUGUAAAGGGCGUGUAGGCGGGCAUGCAAGCCAGAAGUGAAAUCUGGGGGCUUAACCCCCAAACUGCUUUUGGAACUGCGUGUCUUGA
This 292-nucleotide ribosomal RNA is filed under the name uncultured bacterium. RNAcentral's name for it is "partial 16S ribosomal RNA". It matches the Rfam family "Bacterial small subunit ribosomal RNA", at positions 335 to 645 of the family's 1533-position model. The record is from RNAcentral.